Molecule: transfer RNA, 65 nt
Filed under: Ochterus marginatus
Lineage: Eukaryota; Metazoa; Arthropoda; Insecta; Hemiptera; Ochteridae
Description: tRNA-Glu
Rfam family: tRNA
About the family: Transfer RNA (tRNA) molecules are approximately 80 nucleotides in length. Their secondary structure includes four short double-helical elements and three loops (D, anti-codon, and T loops). Further hydrogen bonds mediate the characteristic L-shaped molecular structure. tRNAs have two regions of fundamental functional importance: the anti-codon, which is responsible for specific mRNA codon recognition, and the 3' end, to which the tRNAs corresponding amino acid is attached (by aminoacyl-tRNA synthetases). tRNAs cope with the degeneracy of the genetic code in two manners: having more than one tRNA (with a specific anti-codon) for a particular amino acid; and 'wobble' base-pairing, i.e. permitting non-standard base-pairing at the 3rd anti-codon position.
Source: RNAcentral
AUUUAUGUAGUUUAAAAAAAACAUUUCAUUUUCAAUGAAAAAAAGGAAAAUUUUUCCCUUAAAUA